AGUCCAUGGGGUCCCAAAGAGUGGGACGCUACUGAGUGACUGAGCACAUAGAUAUAAAGAUGUCUGUUCUUUGAACUCUUCAAGCCAGUUUUUAUCUGUUUUCUAUUUGAAAUUCCCAAGUUGUGGCUAAUACUUACCCAGGGAACUUGAGACUGGGGAAAAUACCCUGUAUUUAAAACUGAUUUGUUUUUUCCUGUCGAUUAUCUGUUGACAUUGCUUCUCUGGUGUCCAGAUUCAAGAGCUAAAAAUGAAAACUCUAAUGUUUGUUUGAAGUUUGUUCCUCCUUUAAGGAAGCUGCUGUCUCUGCUAUAAGACUGUAGCUUUUUCUCCUUUUUUUCUGUGGAAUUCAGGAUGGCUGCUGUAGCUCCAGGCAUCAUGUUUGCAUUCAACGUAGGAAGAAAGGAGAAAAAAAUGCGACACUAAUUACAUCAGAAAAGACAAAGAAUCUUUCUGGAUGUCUAUGGCCCAUGAACCAGAACAGUCUCAAGCAAGGGAAGCUGUUCCCUGACCAAGGAUCAAACCUGUGCCCCCUGCAAUGGAAACUCGGAGUUUUAACCACCGGACUGCCAGGAAAGUCCCAGCUACAACCUUCUAAAGCUUAAAGCAGAUUCAGGAUCACGUCCGUGCUUAACACAGUACCCAUGGCCCUCACUAAAUAAAUCUAAACUGUUUACAAAAAUAAAUCUAAACUGUUUA
Bubalus bubalis (water buffalo) is the source of this 696-nucleotide long non-coding RNA. RefSeq lists it as uncharacterized. Lineage: Eukaryota; Metazoa; Chordata; Mammalia; Artiodactyla; Bovidae. The record is from RefSeq and is a predicted model, not a curated record. The transcript is spliced from 3 exons.